This 397-nucleotide ribosomal RNA is filed under the name Hepatozoon sp. RNAcentral's name for it is "partial 18S ribosomal RNA". It matches the Rfam family "Eukaryotic small subunit ribosomal RNA", at positions 513 to 904 of the family's 1831-position model. Lineage: Eukaryota; Apicomplexa; Hepatozoidae. The record is from RNAcentral.
AAUGAUAGAAAUUUAAACACUUUUUAAAGUAUCAAUUGGAGGGCAAGUCUGGUGCCAGCAGCCGCGGUAAUUCCAGCUCCAAUAGCGUAUAUUAAAAUUGUUGCAGUUAAAAAGCUCGUAGUUGAAUUUCUGUUAAAAAUAACCGGUCUGCUUUUAUUAAAAGUGGUAUCUUGGUGUGUUUUUAGCAAUAAUGUCCUUUGAAAUGUUUUUUACUUUAUUGUAAUAAGUCAUUAUUUUGAGGAUUUUUACUUUGAGAAAAUUAGAGUGUUUCUAGCAGGCUUACGCUUUUGAAUACUGCAGCAUGGAAUAAUAAGAUAGGAUUUUAGUUCUACAUUAUUGGUUUUAAGAACUAAAUUAAUGAUUGAUAGGGAUAGUUGGGGGCAUUUGUAUUUAACUG